GAUUUCUGGUUCGGCGCAUUAGGCCCGCCUCGGUUCACGAGGUCGUGUGCCGUUUGCGCCAUCCAUCCUUCAAGAAAACCUUUCUGCCCUUCACUGGGUUGGAUUGGCUAUCUUGAUCUUUUACUUUGAAAAAAUUAGAGUGUUUAAAGCAGGCUUGCGCUAUGAAUACAUUAGCAUGGAAUAAUAAUUUAGGACUUUGGUCUUAUUUUGUUGGUUUCUAGGACUAAAGUAAUGAUUGAUAGGGAUAGUUGGGGGUGCUAGUAUUCCGCGGCCAGAGGUGAAAUUCUUGGAUUCGUGGAAGACUAACUACUGCGAAAGCAUU
This 322-nucleotide ribosomal RNA is filed under the name Cercomonadidae sp. Its description in RNAcentral is "SSU rRNA". The stretch from base 61 to 322 matches the Rfam family "Eukaryotic small subunit ribosomal RNA", at positions 692 to 955 of the family's 1831-position model. Lineage: Eukaryota; Cercozoa; Cercomonadida; Cercomonadidae. The record is from RNAcentral.